UGAUAAUACUGGCUCCUGAGCAGAGUGGGAGCCCUGUACUGGGAAGACAGUGUGGAGGAGAGAUGCCCUGUCUGUCAGACCCUCACUGGACGGCCAAGAGACCCAGAGCAGGUGUGUGUGACCUCAGCCCUGAGCCACAGCCCCGACUUCCGGGACAUUCAGAAAAGAUGGUUGUAGGAUAAACUGAGCUGGUGGUGACUGGCACAUAAUAGUUGCUCAAUAAAUGCUGGUUUGCUUUUCCGCACGCUGUCAUGAUGAUGGCAGGGUUUGGUAAAUAUCCAAUGGUUGAAGGAAAGAAGGAGGAUACACAGACGAGAUUCGGGGUGAAUGAACAGGGUACCUAAUUUAAAGGACUCAGCUCAGGAUCUGGAACAUACUGUGUCCUCAGUAAACACUGCGUGGUGUGAUUAUUACCUGUCUAAGGUUCAGUGUGAGUGUAGAGUUGGAGGGGGAGAGGAGACGGGGGAUGUGAGGCUGGAGGAGAGCAAGGAGGCCAGCUGGGGAAAGAUGGGCUGGGCCCCAUAUUUGGACCCCUCCCCACCCCCAGGCCACCUCUCUCUGCAUCUCCAGCUGUAACUGAUGUUAAUGGCGUUCUAGUUUCUAAUCAUUUUUUGCAAUUUGCAAAGUUGUUUCUUUGGUUUCUGUGGACAAAGCUACGCUGUCAGCUCUGCUGGGUUUCUCCCCAUCUUUUCCUCAAAGAUCUUCAUGAAAAUGGUGUUGCAAAAACUGUUGUCUCCUAGUUAAGCAAAAAGAAGAAUAAGAAAAAACCCAGCAUCUUGAAGAGGAGGGGGAAACAGAGAAGAAAGGAAGCCCAGGGGCCCUAGGUCCACAAGACCUCUCACCCUGUGGGGGGAGGUCAGGUGGGCAUCCCAUAGGAAGGACACUUCUACGUGGAGACCUGAUGGACAAAUACGAGUCAGCCAGGGGGCCAGGGGAGAUGCUCCAGGCAGAGGAAACGCAUGCAAAGGCUCAGAGGUCCAAGUGGCCGAAGAAAGGCCUGUGUGACUGGACCAUCUUGAAUGGGGGACGCGGCAGGUGCUGAGGCUGCAGAGGUGGGCGGAGCGGACUGCCCUGGGCUUCAAGGCCAGGUAGGGGCUUUGGGACAAGAACCAUAGGAAGCCAACACAGAGCAUUGAGUUGUGCUUUUAAAGCCCCCUCUGGUGGCCGUGUGGAGAAUGGGCGGUGGAAGGGGAGAGAGUGGAAGCAGCACCAGGGGCACAGGUGAGCAGGAGGGGAGGGACAGAGCCAGGCAGACUUGGGGAGGGGGCUCCAUCAGAGGGAAGGGCAAGGGGGAGGCCUUGAGGCAGGAGCGUGUCCAGGGCUCCAGGUCCAGGAAGGAGCCCAAGGGCUGGAGGCGAGUGAGGGUGGGGGGAGACUGCAGAGCCCCUGGGGUCACUGUCAGUGUAGACUGUGCCGAGUGAGGCAGGGGCCACAGGGAGUGGACAGAGCAGGGACGGCCCCACCCUGAGUCUCACAGGGUCAUCUGGCUGCUGCAGGGAGAGUGACAGGAGCAGGGCCAGGGCAGAGGCAGGGGCCAGGCAGGCGGCCACUGCACCAGUCCAGGUGUGAUGGUGGUGGGACCAGGGUGGGAGCCUGGAGAGAGAGAAGCUCCCGGAUCUGGGGUCACAUGAAGGGCAGCAAAGAGGACAUGAGGAUUAUUCACUCCGCAAAUAUGCAGCAUUAUUACCAUUUAAAACUUUAUACUAUUUUACUGAGCAUCUCCUUAUAGGAGAAAGAUUCAAGAAUGAAAUCCACAGCAGUGUUACUUAUGAGAGUUAAAUAAUUGAAAUCAUCCAAAUUUUUUAAAAGAGAGUUUAGUUAAAUAAAUUAUGGAACAUUAAUUAAAUGAACUAUUUCCAAAAAUAUGUAAUGACAUGGAAAACUGGUCCAGCCAGAAUUUUGGAUAAGAAAGACCCCAGUCUGUUUGCGCAUCAUGUAGAGGACACGGCUGCCGGCUGCCCACAUCCAGUUCCCUUCUGGGCCCCCUGACAGGAGAACAGCACCUCCCCAUCACCUGGGGUCAGGGGCGCCCGUGAGGCUCGCUUUGGUCAAGGAAACAUGAAUGGAGGUGGGGAGUGCCCUUUCCAGGAGCAUUUAAGAUCCAGUGCGCAUGCUCGUGUCCUUUCUGCUGAGGGUGGGCAGAGUCCCUAGGUGUCUGUGGUGAGCAAGGCAGCUCCUGCUGACCACAGAGGGCACGUAACGUGAGCGAGAAACGACCUUUUCUGCUUCAGGAGAGGGAGGAGGUCAUGAUGUCAUGUCCUGGCUUACCCUGACAGCCUGUACUGUAAGCCCUGUAAUUUGGUGUGUUGCCUUGACGUCUUUGACUUUCAUGGGACCUCAAAGGCCUACCUAGAGUUCCUCUGCUCCGGCCGGAUCUGUCCCCACCCAGCAGGAAAGUCUCGCACCCAGCUAGUUCCCCGCUCAGCCAGAACAGCUGCGCUCCACCGGGUCCUCGCCUAAUGGGCUUCAGCUGCAUGAAGUGUGGAAUUGGGCAAACAAACCAAUUACCUCCUCCCGCAGGAACCAGGGGACCUCAACCCCUGGUUCCUACAAAGCCUGCCGCUCACGGCCCUGCUGGUUCUCACUGCUCCCGAGUGCCAGCCUCGUGUGGCCUGCGUGGCGGCAGCAUCCUCCUCUCCCAGGCUGUGAGUGUGCGUGACUGAUGCCCGGCUGCCAGCCCUGUCCUUCCAGUGACAGGUGGUGUGCGUUUAGCUGUUUCAUUCUAUUUAGGAUGGGGAAGCCCUCCUCACCAACGAGGUAAAUGGGAAGGGAUCAGCACAGUCACACCAAUGGGAAAUCAAUUAUGAAAACAUACAUUUGUGUAUAAGUAGAAAAGGAAUGAAGAUAGGCGUCAGCUGCUGUCUUUGGCGGCGAGAUGCUUUAUAUCCAUUUUGCACGUUCCAAGCGUUUUACAGUAAGUAUACAUUACUUAUAUUAAAAGAAAACUCAGUGUUCUUAAGCACCCAGGCCCGGCGAGGCCACCCCGCCCCAGGCCGCAGCUCCUCCCUCGGCUCCUGCUCCCGGGCGCUCGGCGUCUGUCCCGCCCCAUUAGCCCUUUAUUGUGGAUCAUUUUGUUCUCCAAUUUUGCGCCCUUACAAUUUAGCGCGUCAUACACUGUCUUGCUCUCUAACAUUUAAUUUAGUGUCCCUUGGACUCGGUUUCUUCGUCUCUAAGUGCAGUGGAGGCAGAAAGGGAGAACUUCAGAGGCCACUCAGCACCAGCACUCCCUCAGGGCCUGGAGUAAUGAAAGCCAGCACCGUGGGCCAGGCGCCUUGCUGAGUACUUCCUAUGCAUUGUUCACUGGGUUACUUCAACAAUCCCACAAGGAGGAAGUGGUCACACGCCUCUUGCCGUCCCCCCAUUUUAUAGAUGAAGCUCAGAGAGGUUUAGAAACUUGUCCAAAGUCGUCAUGUUACAGAUGAGGAUCUGAGGAACAGAGAGCCCUGUGUUUGCCCAGAGUGCCACCCCCAAGUGCUGCCAGCAAGUGUCAUGUGAGCCCCGGAAUCUGCAUCCCACUGUUUUAUUUUGUCAAUCCUUACAACAGCCAGAUGGAUUCCGUAUUAUGGUGCCCAUUUACAGAGGGGAAAGCUGAUGAGGCUCAGAGAGGUUAAGUAACUUGGCUACUAUCUCACAGUGAGGAAGUGGCAGAGUCCAGGCUGGGAACCAGGGUCAUCCAAAGCCUGUGGUCUAAACACUUAACAACACUGCCUCCCUCCACCAAGCCUGGGGCUCAGGACCAUUAACAGGGACUGAGCCUCCUCUGUCAGGGUGUGGAAUCAGAAUAUAACAACAGCCUCCGGGAGAGGCCCCCAGGGAUCUGCAUUCAGAUGCUGCCCUGAGAGCAGGAGGUCUGAGCAGGGAAGGGAGGGGGGAGCCUGGAACCCAAACAGCAAAGGAGCCCCGGGCCUGGGUGGGCUCCCUGCAGGGGCCUGGGUGACGCGGGCAGCACUGCCAGAGAGAGGCAGCAUCACUUUGUGACUGUGGCCAACACUGUCCACUGGCUGGAGGCUGGUCAGGCACAGCCAGGGUGGCUGGCAGCCGCCUCGGCUCCCAAAAUUCACUAUCGGUCCUAGAUCCUGCGGAAGUUUAUGGUCCAGCAUAAUUCUUCUAAUUGCCAUCGUCAUGGCUAAUAACAUUAUGUGACAGCCAUAAACUCAGAGAGUUGAAGUGGGCCCCGGAGGACAGAACAACUGAAGAUGGUUUGGAUGGGAUUCAGAGGGAGGCAGGAGGGCUCAGGUUGGGGACCAUGGCUGUGCCUUCUGGGGAUGGGUGUCUUUUCACAGAUUCAUUGGAAGCUGCACUCACAGAAGAUCAGGAUGGGCGCAGGGGACGCUGGGUCAUGAGCCGUUCAUCGAUAGAGAUUAUCAGCGCAGAGCUUGAGAUAAUUGUCAGUUGUAAGGUAAGGCUUACAGAAGAAUGGGACACUCCUGGACCCUUAGAACGUCAACAUCACAGGACCCUCAGGGGUGGGCGUGGUAGACACACAGCUGGGUGACCCAACCCAGGCUCCAGAGCCGGCCCAGGCAGGGAGCUUCCAAAUGAUUCUAAUGGAGACCAUCUCAGGCCGACAUCUGAGGACUCUCCCCCGUGGGACCGGGCUGCGUCACUCUCUCCUUCGACCCCAGCCCCUCCAGGACAGGGGUCUCUGCCCAGAAUGGGAGUCAGGGCUUUUAUUGCUUUGGCUCCACUGGGGGCAGGGAGCUGCUCCUCACCCCUCCCUAACGCAGCUCCACUUUCCCGUCCUCACUCUUGCCCCUGCCCGCCAGGCCCCCCGGCCUCUCCUCUCUCACACUGGCUUGUCGCGGGUCCUCCAAGCACAGAGCCCCUCCUGCCUCCAGGCCCUCACGUGUGCUGUUCCCUCUGCCCCGACGGGAUGCCCCUCUUUCUCAUCCCCCCGCGUCCCCAUCUCAUCGUUCAGAUCUCCAUUCUGCUCCCACCUCCACACAAGCCACCUGCGACCCGGCCCGGUCAGGUCCCUGCCCCGUGUUCACAGCCCUGAACCUUUGCUUCAGGGUCACAGUCCCCUUUGCAGUUUGGCGUGAUUGUGGGAUCAUUUGGUAACGGGUCCCGCACUGCGAGCCUGCUGGCCCGGGAGCCCACACAGCCCGGCGCGGAGCACCCAGCCCUGCGGUGGGUCAGAGGACGGCGGCUGGAACCUGACGUCCUGGAGCCCCGUCCGCCUUCACUGACCCGGGGUCGCCUCCCUGAGCCUCGGUGUCCUCAGCUGGAAAUGGGACCCUGGACUCGCGAAAGCGAACCUUGUGUCAUUGCAUCUGAACCCCGAGCUCCGUGGGGGCCGCAGCCCCCGUUCUCUGGGAGGCUCACAGCAGGGAAGGCCCUGGGCUGCCCUGGGCUCCGAGAGGCUGGCGCUGGGUGGACACGGACGCAGGUGAUGGCACAUCACACCGCAGCUGUGGGUGCCCACCACCCAGAGCCUGGCCUGUGGUGGGCCCACGAGACAUGUUUAUUGAAUGGAUGAAUUGGAGUCAUGCGAGGGGUCCCUGGAGGUGGUCUUCAGUUUUGAGGAGGAUGGCUGGAAGCAGAAAUCAGAGCUGUGGUCGGGGGACAGAUGCCGUGGACACAGGGGAGGGUGAGUGGGUCAGCGGUGGGGGCCCUGGGUCGCCCUGGGGCAGGCCCUGCAGCCCGUGGAUAGCAGCUGAUCUACGGGCCAGGUAGGCAGGGCCCCCGACCUGUUCUCGCCCUGCUUGCUCUCACCUGAGCCACCCCUCCCCGCCCCCCGGCUCCUAGCCACAGGUCUGACACAGGACCAUGGCUGGGCCACCUCCCAUGCUGACCCUCAGAGACCCUGUCCUGCUGGAGAAAGGCCCCCUCACCCUAACCUGCUCACUCGCUGUGACCCUCAGGGUCUGGGGGCCCAGCCCCCAUCAGUGACUCUCUCGGCUGCCCCGGCCAUGCCCCAUCAUGUGCACCCCCCACAGUGGAACUCCAUCAGCAGUACGAGGCGACAGCAAGUGUGGGAGCGAUGGGAACACAGUCAGCUGUCCAGUUGGCUGUGCUCCAUGUGGGACCGAUGAAGCGGGUGCUUUAGCAGGCCAGCAACUGCAACAAGCAGAUUCCAUGUGGGCAGCUGGGGUGGGGUCAGUGCUGCCGUGUCCCUGAGCCCUGCGGAGCCCUUGGCUGGAGGCUGCAGUGGGCACCGCCCCCCAUCCCCCAACCCUGUAGCUCCUCCCUCUGGCCUACAGUGGCCUCUGACCACACCGACCCUGCCCCUUCAGCGCCCAGCCGUUCUGACAGCCUGACCCUCAGAUUCCUGAAGUCAGAGUCAUGGACCCUUGGCCUCCCCGAGCUCAGCUCAUGGAGCUACAGGAUCUCAGCGUCCAGCAUCCCACCGUCUGAGAUCCUCGAGUCACAGACCCAAAGCAGCUGAGACUCACAAAUUUCCACCAUCAGAGUGUCAGGGGUCCGCAAAUCACAGACAGGUGUAUCGAACCCCCAGUCCCUGAAGAAGAGCAGGCUCCAGGAAUUGUCCACCCUGGACUCGGGGCAUGUGUUGCACCCACGGGGGCUCAUGUGGGGCCUGCCUGGAGCUCAGGGCACAGCAGGGGGCAGCUUAGAGGGUGAGCAGUGGGCACUGAGCCUGCCCAGGACUGGCCUUGCGGGGUGGACUUGGGGCCACAGCUCCGAGCUGUGUCCAGAGGCCUGUGGGGACCUCACUCUCCAUCUGGGUGGAGCCGUGGCUAGAGGAGACGUGGAACUCAGGCCCACACCUGGCCAGGAAAGAGCUUGUUGCCUAAAGACAGGAGGUGUCUAAGUUGGGGGCACAAGACUUCACAGGAAGGAGGAAGUCUGCUUGGCGGGGCAUCCUGGAAGGCUUCCUAGAGGAGGUGUGAUUGGGGCUGGGCCCACAGGGAAGGUGGGAUUAGGCCCUGGGCUCAUGGUGGAGGCAGUGGGUCAGUGAGGAAGACAGUUCCUGGCAGAAGACACAGCUCGGGGAAGUGCGACAUAUUUUAGGCACAGUGAGGGCUCUCAGGGGCCUGCAGCUCAGAGACACGGGGACGCGGUGAAGAGAAAAUGGCGGCACAAAAACAGAACUUUAUCAGUGCUCCUCGCCUUCCUCCGAACGUGGCAAUGCUCCCAGCCUGGCAGGCCCGCCCUGGCUGUCCCCUAGCAGGAGGGGGACUUUGGAGCUGGACAGUGACCCCUCGCUCCCAUCCUGGUGGCCCGGGGCCAGCCCCCACCCCUUCCCUGGUACAUACAGCUUCAGUGUCCUCCCCCGACCUAUGGCCUUGUCAGGGGCUGAGCCAGGGGCCGAGCCCAGCCCCGGCCUCCCCCGCCGUGUCUCCAUAAAUGGGAGAUUUGUAUGAGCUGCGCCACCGUCAGCUUUACUGGAUGGCGCCCUGGAGCAGCUCCUUCUCUGGAGAACUGAGCGCUCUGUCCUGUCAAUUCCCCAGGGCCAUGUCAGCCCCAGGCCUGUCACCUCCCCCCUGGGGCCUGGGGGAAGCAGGACGCAGGACGGCGGGCUGUGCCAGGCCGGCCGAGGGCUCCC
This 7507-nucleotide long non-coding RNA is filed under the name Equus caballus (horse). RNAcentral's name for it is "lncRNA (ENSECAG00000051011.1)". Lineage: Eukaryota; Metazoa; Chordata; Mammalia; Perissodactyla; Equidae. The record is from RNAcentral.